AUUGAACGCUGGCGGCAGGCUUAACACAUGCAAGUCGAACGAGUGGCGGACGGGUGAGUAAUGCUUGGGAAUCUAGCUUAUGGAGGGGGAUAACUACGGGAAACUGUAGCUAAUACCGCGUAACAUAGGAUGAGCCCAAGUGGGAUUAGGUAGUUGGUGAGGUAAAGGCUCACCAAGCCGACGAUCUCUAGCUGGUCUGAGAGGAUGACGAGCAACACUGGGACUGAGAGAGGGCCAUGAAUCCUACGGGAGGCAGCAGUGGGGAAUAUUGCGCAAUGGGGGAAACCGGACGCAACCAUGCCGCGUGAAUGAAGAAGGCCUUCGGGUUGUAAAGUUCUUUCGGUAGCGAGGCGUUAACUACAGAAGAAGCACCGGCUAACUCCGUGCCAGCCGCCGCGGUAAUAC
This 405-nucleotide ribosomal RNA is filed under the name uncultured bacterium. RNAcentral's name for it is "partial 16S ribosomal RNA". It matches the Rfam family "Bacterial small subunit ribosomal RNA", at positions 30 to 526 of the family's 1533-position model. The record is from RNAcentral.